UACGUAGGCAGCAAGCGUUGUUCGGAAUUACUGGGCGUAAAGAGUGUGUAGGCGGUGCUCCAAGUCUGGUGUGAAAUCUCCCGGCUUAACUGGGAGGGUGCAUUAGAAACUGGAAUGCUAGAGGAUGGGAGAGGUAAGCGGAAUUCCUGGUGUAGCGGUGAAAUGCGUAGAUAUCAGGAGGAACACCUGUGGUGAUAGACAGCUUACUGGACCAUUUCUGACGCUGAGACACGAAAGCGUGGGUAGCAAACAGG
RNAcentral lists this ribosomal RNA (254 nucleotides) under uncultured bacterium. RNAcentral describes it as "partial 16S ribosomal RNA". It matches the Rfam family "Bacterial small subunit ribosomal RNA", at positions 524 to 776 of the family's 1533-position model. The record is from RNAcentral.